Cucurbita pepo subsp. pepo (vegetable marrow) is the source of this 2417-nucleotide non-coding RNA. NCBI's taxonomy places the organism in Eukaryota, Viridiplantae, Streptophyta, Magnoliopsida, Cucurbitales, Cucurbitaceae. The record is from RefSeq and is a predicted model, not a curated record.
UUUUUUUUCUUAGCUAGCGCGUUGUGUUCCGCGCGCAAAACAGACAUAAUUUUCUGCUCCACUCCACUCCCCAUACAGUUUGAACGGAGGGAUUUCUUUCUCCGUCGUGUAUUUUUCCCGCCCAUUUUUCCAAAGCCAAUACUCCUCCCAUUUUCUCUGCUUCCUUCCGCUAGGUUUGGCGGCCGAUCUCAACUCCUCCGCGCUAUUUCGGUUCGAUGUUAUACAUUUCAAAGCGUCUUACGAAUAUUCAUCUAAACUCAAAGAGCUGCACAUGGAUGCUGGUGGAUCAGAAUGCGAAAAAACGAAGCUUUUAAUAAAAAGAGUUUGGAUGUGUUCAAGCGGACGCAUUCGUGGAGAGUAUUGGAGGAGCAGUUUGGGAUGGAGGAAUAUGUAUUCAUUUCAAACCUUGCGUUUGCGUUCUUCACAGGAAAACAAGAUUUGGAUCCCAGCUAGUUGUAUUUCCAGAAGCCUUUAUUGGUGGUUAUCCCCGUGGAUCAAAUUUCGGUGUUUCCAUUGGGAAUACAACUACCAAGGGAGGAAUUCCGCAAAUAUCAUGCAGCAGCGGUCGAUGUACCUGGUCAGUCUUUGUUUCACUUAAUUUUGGUUGCACCUGUAUAAAGAGUGAUAUUAGUGUCUUACCAUGGAUGAUCUCAGGUUAAAUGGACGUUGUUAGGUUCAUAGUAAUAAUACUUAUUCUAGAAGGCCGACUUCAUUCCUCUAUGAGUCUAUACCAAACUUUAUUAUCUGGUCAUAUAUUAAUAUCAAAAUCUUAAAUCUUAAUAUAUAUCUUUUGUUCUUUAUCACCUUCAAUCUUUAAAUAUAUUUUAGCUCAUAUGCAUACUCCAAUAAGAACUGACUGACUAUUCCAUCUGAAAUACGAGUCUGUUUCAUGAGAUGUAAAAUGGGACUAAUGGCUCCUGCAAUUUACAAUUAAUGAAUGACAAACAAUGCUUCAAAAAUCUACAGGCAUUUCUUAGUUUCACUAGUUUCAAAACCUUCCUACUCGUGCUGAUUAGGUGUGUUUUCAAGUUCUUUUUUUCCUGGGGCUGGGUUCAUGGAUUCUGAAGCCUUGUUCUUAAAAAAUAAAUAGAGCCAAUCAAGACAAUCUGAAAAUACUUAACUCACUGUUAUUACCCAUAAUCAUAUAUGUAUGUAAAUGAAAUAAUGCCUUACCCAUGCAAAAUAAUCUCGAAUACUGUAAAUUUUGUAUUUUUUUAAACUAAUUUAUGUUGUUGGUAAUUAAUUUAUUAGGUUGGAAGCUUUAACCACUAUUCUUGUGCAAAUUGUUACAUAUAUUGCUAGGUUCCUGUAUGCCUUAGGAUUAGGAUAUUACAUAUAUUGCUAGGUUCCUGUUUCCCUACUUAUAUGUGCAUCAUAGGUCAUGGAAGCAAAUUAGACGACCAUUGAAAAUAAAAGAGGCACCUCGAUGUGAAAAGGGAAUAAAGUAAUCAGUUCAUGUAUAAAAACUUACAUAAGAAAAGACUAAACGGAGUUGUUUACUUGCGAGGCAUCAAGCUUAUGUUCCCAUGGAACUCUAAUGGAAGUGCUAGAUCUUGGCCUACAACUAUUUACCUCAAUGCAGUCCAUUGACGAUUCAGGUGGUGAAGUUCUUGGUAGAACAGAAUAGCUGUAAUAAUCUUCAUUGUCAAGUUACCAUUGGAACAUUAUCUUACAGUGUAGUGACAAGGUGGGCCUCAGUUGAGUUGGGUACCUUUGUAGCUGGAGUUAUGAUAUCCACCGCUGUCUUCGGUCAACAUACUUUAGAUCAGGUACUCCCUCCAUACUUGGAAUUAGAAGCUUAAAAUGGUUUCAUUCGAAAGAGGACAACCUCAACUUCAUCCCUACUUAAAAAAGAGCAAGGAAUCGAAAGUAAUCAAGGGAGAAGAGCUGGACAAGACUCAUGAAGAAAGGAAAGCACGAAAAUGUGGGGAUCAUGAAACACCAUAAGAGUCAUUCUUGCUUUGUGGCAAGGAGAGUGACGACUUUGGUGAAGACAGAAAGUCGCUGGAAGCAAAGAGCCCAUAAGUUAACUUUCAGUAAGCUUUAAGCAACAAAUUUGCUGAGUCGAGAGGAGAUGAGUUCUCAAUGUCCAAAUCGAGAACAACUUGGAGUUGAGAAUGUGGGUAAAGUUAUUCUCAGGAACUAGAAACAAUUUGCAGCCUUCCAUAAGUUGUUUGGAAGGAUAAGAUAUGAGAGCUCAAACACGCACGAGCAAGUAAGCAUACGGAGAAAGUAUCGAGUAGUACUUGUAGGAGUUGAUCAGGACAAGGGGCAGAUGAUUACAAAUCAUAUCUAAGAACUUAAUUGACUUAGUAUCAUGGUAGUUAAACUUAGAAACGUGUACAGUUUACGGUUUAGCACAAUUUAAACUUUAUAGCUUCCGUUAUGUAUGCUUGAGAACUUUGAUAGUUUGAACA